Molecule: long non-coding RNA, 6739 nt
Organism: Camelus dromedarius (Arabian camel)
Lineage: Eukaryota; Metazoa; Chordata; Mammalia; Artiodactyla; Camelidae
Exons: 13
Source: RefSeq, a predicted model, not a curated record
ACGUGCGCUCCUAUCUGGUAAAUUUAAAUAUUCUUUUUUGCCCACAUAAUAUUCAGCACUAUCGAAUCCGGCCUCCUCGCUGCCCUGAGCAGAUCCCCAACCCUUGCAAAUCAGAUUCUGUGUUUCAGAGAGCCGUCUGGGGGAUCUUAAGGGUUUGUUUUUUUUUUUUCUUUUUUUCCCGUCUUUCAACUAAUUUCCUUUAGAAUUCUCCAAACAAGUACACGCCUGCACCAAACUGACACUCGGGGAACUUCCAGUAGGCAAUUUGGGGCCUUGUUUUGGUUGCAAAUGAGGUGGGGCAGACGCCGCGUUCCUUUCCCCGGAGCUGUGCUGCGAAUGGCUCCGAGUUUGCAGGCACCCAGGACGGAACCGAAGCGCCCCAAGCAGACACCUCCUUCCUCAUGAUAUCAUGGGAAUGAGAAGGUCCCCACUGAGGGCCCGCAUGAAUCUGGGCACGACAGGAAAACAAGGAGAUGAGGCAUCUUUCCAGGUAGUUAAACCCGUGUAGAAAACCCCGGUACCUAAUUGACGCUGGAAACUUCAUCUUGGUUCUGACUUGUCAUCACGCCGGCCAGGGGUUCCCCUGUUCACCUGGCAUAUCGGGGCGCAACUCCCGGAACGUUCCAUCAGCAGCUGUCUGUUUGGGAAAGGAAAAGGUCACUCUUUCAGAAGUUUUAUUUACUUUUUGAUUGAGAUAGUGUUGAUUUACAGCAUCAUAUUAGUUUCAUGUGUACAGCAUAGUGAUUCACAAUUUCUUCUUAAAGGUUAUACUCCAUUUAUAGUUAUUAUAAAAUAUUGGCUGUGUUCCCCGUGUUGUACAAUGUAUCCUGCCAGCUUAUUUAUUCUGUACAUAGUUUGUCCCUCUGACUCCCCUACCGUCAUUGUCCUUCCCCCCUUCCCUGCCCCCACUGGUCCCCACCAACUUGUUCUCUGCAUCUGUGAGUCUGCUUCUGUUUUGUUAUAUUCACUCGUUUGUUGUAUCUGUUUAGAUUUCACGUAUAAGUGAUACCACACAGUAUUUGUAUUUCUCUGUCUGAUUUAUAUCACUCAGCAUAAUGCUCCCUCCAGGUCCAUCCAUGUUGCUGCAAAUGGCAUUCUUUUAUUCUUUUUCAUGGUUGAGUAGUAUUCCAUUGUAUAAAUACACCACAUCUCCUUUCUUCAUUCUUCUGCUGAAGGACAUUUAAGUUGCUUCCAUGUCUUGGUGGUUUUAAUAAUGCUGCUAUGAACAUGAAGUGCAUGUUUUUUUUUUUUUUUUGAACCAAAAAUUUGAGCUUAAAGAUCUCGAACUCUGCAUUUUAACUGACACAAGAGCCACUCUUGGGAGAUUCUGACUAGGUCUUUCAGCUUUAAUAAAUGCUUGGACUUUUUAUGGUUUUGGCCUAUGGAGCCAAGCUCAUCUGUUCCAGUUUGCUUAGCAAUAUUGGAAUUUCUGAUUUGCAGGUGGUAACAAAUCAGGCUGGCCGUGCUGCUUCCUUUGGGUGAGAGAGGCGGAUGUCGGAAUGCAGACAUGUCCUCCAGGUGUCCUCUCCCGGAACCAACUUUCUUCGACUUUGGUUUUGAACUUCAAGAAAAGGACAGCCCAGGAUAGAUACGGACGUGUGGUAACAAAUCAGGCUGGCCGUGCUGCUUCCUUUGGGUGAGAGAGGCGGAUGUCGGAAUGCAGACAUGUCCUCCAGGUGUCCUCUCCCGGAACCAACUUUCUUCGACUUUGGUUUUGAACUUCAAGAAAAGGACAGCCCAGGAUAGAUACGGACGUGUGGUAACAAAUCAGGCUGGCCGUGCUGCUUCCUUUGGGUGAGAGAGGCGGAUGUCGGAAUGCAGACAUGUCCUCCAGGUGUCCUCUCCCGGAACCAACUUUCUUCGACUUUGGUUUUGAACUUCAAGAAAAGGACAGCCCAGGAUAGAUACGGACGUGUGGUAACAAAUCAGGCUGGCCGUGCUGCUUCCUUUGGGUGAGAGAGGCGGAUGUCGGAAUGCAGACAUGUCCUCCAGGUGUCCUCUCCCGGAACCAAUUUUCUUCGACUUUGGUUUUGAACUUCAAGAAAAGGACUGCCCAAGAUAAAUACGGACGUGUGGUAACAAAUCAGGCUGGCCGUGCUGCUUCCUUUGGGUGAGAGAGGCGGAUGUCGGAAUGCAGACAUGUCCUCCAGGUGUCCUCUCCCGGAACCAACUUUCUUCGACUUUGGUUUUGAACUUCAAGAAAAGGACAGCCCAGGAUAGAUACGGACGUGUGGUAACAAAUCAGGCUGGCCGUGCUGCUUCCUUUGGGUGAGAGAGGCGGAUGUCGGAAUGCAGACAUGUCCUCCAGGUGUCCUCUCCCGGAACCAACUUUCUUCGACUUUGGUUUUGAACUUCAAGAAAAGGACAGCCCAGGAUAGAUACGGACGUAGAUGCAGGGGAGUCCCCAGGGGGGACCCUGUUUCAUCCGUGGAAAAUGCAAGUGGGGCCGCUACAAGUCCCCGGCGACUGAACGCCCACACCAGCUGCAGAAUCGACGAGGCCGUCCCUUCCUGGAGAUGCAGAUCACGGAGGUGGCUCCCCUCCCAUCCUGUCAGCUCCUGAGCUGGAUGAAGGACACCCAGACAGGUGCGGGCGGCCCGGCCAGACAGCACUGCGUGGAUUUCGGGACGGCGGAGGAUCGAGGGACUCAGAUGCGGCGAGCAGUGAGGCCGUCAGGCAAGACGGACAGCCUUGCGCCAGUUAAGGAUUCAACGGUGUUCGUACGAUGGAUGUCCCCCCCUCCAGCUCCGAUAAGCACCCCGGGGGCAGCACAGGGCCGUCCGUAAAGGGCUUCCAGAGGCAUGCAAGUCCGUGGGGGCAGGGCCCCCGGGAUGGAGAUGGCGAGGAAGUGGACCCUAAGACGGAUUCGUACUUGAGAUGACGCUGGGACGGCGUCUCCUGUCGUCUCCCCUUGAAGGUGAGCUUCGCGGAGCAGGCGUGGUUACCCAUCGGAUUCACUGUGACAUGACCACAUCCAGCCGACACCACGAUGCCCGCAGUGCAGCUGUCAGGAGCGCUCAUCUCAGAAUCGUCCCCGUCGAGGCCAGAUGAGCACCUGACUCCCUUCUCUGCGGCAGGGUGGACCCGUCUCCCAGCCUUUUCCUCCCACAGCCUGAGUGGAGACGCUCCCUGAGGUCUGACCCCAGCGUUUGACCUUCUCUCCCUGAACAGCUCAGCGGAGCCGAUGGCUUCUGCAGUCGAUCGACCACCUUCAUAGUGGAUGCAGCGUCUGGAGGCCCCUCCAACGCAAAGGCAGGCAGGCAGAGGACGACAGAUCCGUGGGGGGACUGGGGAUCGAACCCAGGACCUCAUGCAUGCUGCGCACACAGCACCCCUGCGCUGUGCCCCCUCCCCUCUGCCGUGUAGACGCUCAGGCUGGGGAACUUUGACGGCAGCCCGCGCAGACUCACCCGUCCUGGGUUUACAAGGAAACACUUGUACAAAUUACAGCAACCGGCACGCCUGUGGGUCCCCGGUAGCAAUUUGUGAAAUACGCCAGCAGGCUUCGUGUUGGGGUCAAUAAUAAAAGAACAACCCGACACGCAGCUUAAGCUUGAGAAACGGAGCUGCGGGGUAGAACGGGAACGCACCACGAGAUGUGAUGUGAUAGACUCGGACAGGCCCUAACCCUGCAAGCGGCACCGUGCUACGGGCGCGCUUCUGUGAGCUGCAUUUGAACUGAAAAGCGUUUUGUAUCCGCUGACCCCAAAACGUCAACGCGCGUCCUCAAGGCGUGCAGUCCUGCCGGGCGUGCGGCACGCGGCAUGCUGGACGGGAGGCUGAGGAGGGCCAGGGUGACCGCCAGCCAAGAGGGUGCGAACCACGGGGGCACCCGUAACUGUGUGCAGCAAGCACACUGGCAUCUGUUCCCUACUGUGUACACAGUGACCACAGGGGCAUUCACAACCGACUGUAUACAGCAAGCACACUGGCAUCUGGAACCAACUGGAUACAUAUUAACCACACUGGCAUCCGUAAACAACUGUAUACAACCCCAGUGGCAUUCACAACCGACUGUAUACAGUGACCACACUGGAAUCUGUAACCGACUAUGCAGUAACCAGAUGGAAUGUGGAACCGACUGUACAGUAACCACACUGGCAUCUGUAGCUGACUGUACACAUGGUAACCACACUGGUGUCCACAACCGACUGGAUACACUAACCAUACAAAACCCACAAUUGAAUGAAUACAGUGAUCACACUGGCAUUAACCGACUGUAUACAUAGUAACCACACUGGCAUUCAUAAACAACUGUAUACAACAAUCACAGUGGCAUCCGUAACCGACUGUAUGCCCAGUAACCACCCUGGCAUCCACAAUCAGCUGUAUACUGUAACCGCAGUGGGAUCCACAAUCAACGGUAUACAGUAACCACACUGGCAUCCGUAACCAACUGCAUACAGUAAAUACAGUGGCAUCUGAAACCGACUGUAUACACAGUAACCACACUGCCAUCAGUAACCAACUAUAUACAGUAACCAUACUGGCGUCUGUAACCGGCUGAACGUAGGAACCACGCUGGCAACCACAACCAACUGCAUACGCAUUAACCACAUGACAUGCACAACCAACUGUAUACACUAACCACACUGGCAUCCAUAAUCAAGUUUAUAUUAACCACACUGGCAUCGGUGAUCAACUGCAUACAGUAAGCACAAUGCAUCCACUACCUACUGUAUACAGUAACCACACUGGCAGUACUCAGGAACCACACUGGCAUUUGUAACCAACUGUAUACACAGUAACCACCCUGGCAUCCGUAACCGACUGCAUACAGUAACCAAAGUGGCAUCCACAACCGACUGUAUACAGUACCCACGAUGCCCCUCCCUGAUCCUGUGGGAGCGCCCACUGAGACAGGCUGGGACCCAGGACCUGUUACUGCAGCGCCUGCCCCCGGGCAAACCUCUUCUCCAGCAACAGGCGUAAAGAAACGAUAAAGGACCAAAAUUAACCCCGUGUGUCUACAGUUGGGGCAGGUUAUGAACAACAGAGAAAAAGUCCAAACGCAGCUGCCACUUCUGAGCAAAAGCAGGUGCCAGGUGUGCUCCCUGCACACAGCACCACCAAGGGGGUGAGCCGCCCCUCCUGCCCGACCCGACACGCCCCCACCCUCACCCCAUUUGAGGGUCCUGCUCACCCCCUCCCUCCCCGAGCACCCCCCAAGGGCCCCUGUUUCUUGCUCUCACUCCUUCUGCUGCAGGACAAGUCCCAGCAAAGCCUCCCCUGAACUCCUCGUCUGGCCUCAUCCAUUUCCACGGAGUAAGGGGUCCAAGGACCCAGGUCAGGAACACAGUGACCUCCUGCCUGUGGGCAUGCAUGGCUCCAGGGCAGGACCAUUGCCAGCUCCCUCUCUGCCCCUGCAAGCUGUAAUAAAAUAAUGCACCAAAUCCUCAGUAAAGUCUCUGGGAAGACGCCCCUUUGCUGUCUGCGCACUGUAUCGUAACGACCGAGGACCCCUCAACGACCUUUUAUUCCACCAACCAAUGCCCGGAGAAGGGGCAUUCUGUUCACUGGCAAGAAACAAAGCUUUGCACACAAUUUCGGGUGACCCAUGGGACACCGGAGUCCGCUUCAGGAGCCCAGGGUGGCAGAAUGAAAUCACCUUGUAUGUUUUUUAAGCCUGUUUCUUGAACCAGGAACUCUGCAGCUGGACCUUCUGCCAGGAGAAACACGGUCUUCUGGAGACCUUUUCCACCCCGGAGGGAGGAAAAAGCCGUCUCACCCGGGGAGUACUUCUGCCUGACCUCGGCCAGUGUCCUCGAGGACUCAGGGAGGCUCCAGGCCCCGAAACGGGGCGGCCCUGUGUCUGCAGGGCGCGCCCAGCACUGCAGAGCUUGUCACGUGGGGCCCGCGAGUUCCGCCCGAGGGCUCUGACGGGUUUUCCCCCUCCCAGCCCCUUCCGAUCACUCACUCUUAUAAAACAAAACAUGUGAUGUGUUCCACUGGAACAGACCCUGUUACGCGGUAUUUUAGCUCACUUAGCCUUUAACCACUAACAGUGUGACUCAUUCCCUUCUUGAUUUUAAAAUCCCACUAGAUAAAGCCCCACUCUCAUUUUUCGGGUCCUACCAGGCAAAAAAGAUGUGGGGUUUUUUUUAUUAUUUAUUAUUAUUAUUGGGCAAGGCGGGGGGCGGGAUCCAGUGCCCGACACUCGGUAGUAUUUUAACGGUGACUGACAGUCUUUCUGCAGCCGGGGAAGGUUGCACUCACGAUGGAUUCGUAAGCCAAAUGCCUCUCAUUCUAUGUUGAAAAGAUGCAUAUUGAACACAGAAGUGGAGUGUUUCUACCCGAAGAGAAAUGAGGGGCAGGAAACCCCAAACUCCUCGGUGUUUGCACGCACAGAAGACAAAUCAACACAAAAACCAAGCAUACUUCUGAGACGCGGCCACUGGGGGACGACAACCCUGAUCUCAGGCAGAGGGUAAAACCGUAAGAGGAAAAAAAAUCAAGGACGAAGUGGAGAAAAAGUACAGAUACUGAUGGAAAAAAAAAAGAACAUAGUAGGGAUGGGUGGGAACUAAGAAAAAGGAAGAAAGACCAGUCUCUUCAAAGAACAAAUGGGAAAAAUUAAACUCUAUUGAUUAAAAACAAAAGCCCCCUCCUGUUUCAAAGGGUAAAAGACACGUUGUCUCUGGGAGCGUGGGGUCGGGGGGCGAUCCGCUCUCCGCGCGCGAGGACGGGGAGCGCACGACGCGCGGACGCUGUAGCGUGGCCGGAGCCGGGGGGGGGGGGG